This 465-nucleotide ribosomal RNA is filed under the name uncultured bacterium. Its description in RNAcentral is "partial 16S ribosomal RNA". It matches the Rfam family "Bacterial small subunit ribosomal RNA", at positions 338 to 795 of the family's 1533-position model. The record is from RNAcentral.
CCUACGGGAGGCUGCAGUAGGGAAUCUUCCACAAUGGACGAAAGUCUGAUGGAGCAACGCCGCGUGAGUGAAGAAGGGUUUCGGCUUGUAAAGCUCUGUUGGUAGUGGAGAAAGAUCGAGGUCGUAACUGUCCUUUAUUUGACGGUAAUUACUUAGAUAGUCUAGGCUCACUACGUGCCAGCAGCCGCUGUAAUAGGUAGGUGGCAUGCGUUGUCCGGAUUUGUUGGGCGGAAAGGGAGUGCGGGCGGUUUGAUAAGUGUGAUGUGAAAGCCUUCGGCUCAACCGGAGAAUUGCAUCAGAAACUGUCGGACUUGAGUGCAGAAGAGGUGAGCGGAACUCGAAGUGUAGCGGUGAAAUGCGUAGAUAUAUGGAAGAACACCGAUUGCGAAGGCAGCUCACUGGACUGCAACUGACGCUGAGGCUCGAAAGCGUGGGUAGCGAACAGGAUUAGAUACCCGAGUAGUC